AACCCUCCUUAGGGCAUAACCUUCUAUUU
RNAcentral lists this non-coding RNA (29 nucleotides) under Rattus norvegicus (Norway rat). Lineage: Eukaryota; Metazoa; Chordata; Mammalia; Rodentia; Muridae. The record is from RNAcentral.